AAGACUAAACUUUCAGGGAUCAUUUCUAUAGUUUGUUACUAUAUGGAUGGCUAGUGGACUGCUGGGGUUUCUACAAACAGAGAGCCCCGAGGUCAACCCACCCCCAGCGGGAGGACCGUCCUCCAUGCGACAGUGCAGGGCAGGCUCUGGGCGGGGAGCGUUCCUCUGU
This is a small nucleolar RNA of Ailuropoda melanoleuca (giant panda), 169 nucleotides long. Its record names the gene U3. It matches the Rfam family "Small nucleolar RNA U3". From Rfam's summary of the family: Small nucleolar RNAs (snoRNAs) are involved in the processing and modification of rRNA in the nucleolus. The record is from Ensembl. Lineage: Eukaryota; Metazoa; Chordata; Mammalia; Carnivora; Ursidae.